AAAAAUAACACAACCUGAACUAACAUAAAAGAAUAGCAUAGGUAUAUACAGUAUAUAUUAUGCUAUUCUUUUAGGUUAAUAUUAAAGACUUGAACACCCCAAUGUGACUUGUCUGGUCGAACAUUUGCCCGAGUGAGCUGUGAGGGGAAGGGUGUGACAGACUGACUGUUAUGUGGUGAUUAAAUUUUUUGGUAUUUUUAUACUAAGUAAUUUAUACACAAGCUUAUGUCGCUACUGUCCUCUGUGGAUAUCAAGCUUCCGUAGUCUUCCUUCACCAACACAAGAGAGGACAGGUGCUGCCACGGGUGGCCGCAGGAUUUUUCCAGGGGGAUGCAAGAAAGCAAGACAAGACCUGACAUAUCAGUUUAAUCAAAACAGAUGCAGUGGUUCAUUAUCCAAGAUGGUGGACAAGACCAUCCUGAUGAUUAUAAUGGGGAGAACUAUGUGGGGCUGGAUAUUGGACAAAUGGCAUACCCUGGUAAAAGCAAAUAGCAAAGACAACAGAGAGCAGCAGUGACCCUUGUACUGCUGUCACAAUCACCGCUCAGCGUCCUGAAGAGAAUGUGGUGCUGGGAGACCCACCAAGAACCUUCUUGCAUGCUUCAGUAGGGUCUUCAGUGGUACUGGCCUUGAAUAUAAAAUAUUGUGUGACUGUCUGAGGAGAAUGGCUGUUUGGCUCAGGUGGACUGCUGGCUGGCUCUGGUGAAUGGUUGACUAGCUGAGGCGAACGUCUGGCAGGUCAAGAACCCCACCAAACAGAUACAUUGUGAUGGAGGUAUCAUCACGCUUUCACAAUCUCAAGUAUUUCCCAAUUCAACGUCUAUAAUGGACUCCACUUAAGGCAAAACAGACUUCCAUUCAACAUUUGGUGUGCAGUGUCCAGAUUGUCAACAUUCCUUGACUCAAAUUACUUCUCACCAACACCAAUACAGUACUGCUACACUAUACUGUUGUAGUGGACGUCUCCCCUACAAACUGCGUAGCUGCAUCCCACCUGCGACGCCUGCCUGGCGGUCCUCGCUCCCGCCAGCGAGCAU
Molecule: long non-coding RNA, 1037 nt
Filed under: Homarus americanus (American lobster)
Lineage: Eukaryota; Metazoa; Arthropoda; Malacostraca; Decapoda; Nephropidae
Description: uncharacterized LOC121866432, transcript variant X1
Source: RNAcentral